This 464-nucleotide ribosomal RNA is filed under the name uncultured Leptotrichiaceae bacterium. RNAcentral's name for it is "bacterial SSU rRNA". It matches the Rfam family "Bacterial small subunit ribosomal RNA", at positions 28 to 505 of the family's 1533-position model. The record is from RNAcentral. Lineage: Bacteria; Fusobacteriati; Fusobacteriota; Fusobacteriia; Fusobacteriales; Leptotrichiaceae.
GAUGAACGCUGACAGAAUGCUUAACACAUGCAAGUCGAAUGAGAAAGUUACUUAGGUAAUGAGUAGCAUGGCGGACGGGUGAGUAACGCGUAAAGAACCUGCCCUUUGGAAUGGGAUACCCCUUGGAAACGAGGGAUAAUACCAAAUAUAAUGUAUAAAUGGCAUCAUUAAUACAUGAAAGAUUUUAAUCGCCGGAGGAGGGCUUUGCGUCCUAUUAGCUAGUUGGUAAGGUAAGAGCUUACCAAGGCGAUGAUAGGUAGCCGGCUUGAGAGGGUGAACGGCCACAAGGGGACUGAGAUACGGCCCUUACUCCUACGGGAGGCAGCAGUGGGGAAUAUUGGACAAUGGAGGAAACUCUGAUCCAGCAAUUCUGUGUGCACGAAGAAGGUUUUAGGAUUGUAAAGUGCUUUUAUCAGGGAAGAAGGAAGUGACGGUACCUGAAGAAGAAGCGACGGCUAAAUACG